RNAcentral lists this long non-coding RNA (400 nucleotides) under Medicago truncatula (barrel medic). RNAcentral describes it as "long non-coding RNA (MTRU_LNC000891)". Lineage: Eukaryota; Viridiplantae; Streptophyta; Magnoliopsida; Fabales; Fabaceae. The record is from RNAcentral.
UUUUUUUUUUUUUUUUUUAUGUUUGAGAUGUACAUAGGUCUUUGAAGUUCUAUGUAAAUGGGAUUUUCAAUGUCAAGUUAGUAGAAUUAUAGUUUUUUGUACUCUAGUAUAUUACUGCUAGUUGCUUCAUUCCUUCACUUUCCUUGGUGAUUGUGAACACAAGAUUAAGUUGUAUGCCAUGUAAAAACAAGAAAGGAAACCAAAUGUAUGUAUAAAAUUGUAAGACUGUAAUAGCUAGCUAUGUUAUAAGACUGUAAUAACAAUUAAAAAAAAAAACUAUGUUCAAUUCUCAAUGUAGGAUUUCAAUUGAAGUACUUAGGAACCAAAAUUCAUUCAUUUACAAUUUAUCCCAAUUGGAAAGAGAACAAAGAAACAAUUUUCGAAACAAAAUCAUCUCGGC